AAUAGUUUUAUGUCACAUCAGUACUCUUAUCCUGAAUUUCAGGAUUUCACCCUAAAAAAAUCAAAUCCGAAUUAAAAUACUAAAAUUCAGGAUAAAAUCUUGAAAUUCAGGAUAAGAAUACUGAUGUGACAUAAAACUAUU
Molecule: microRNA precursor, 141 nt
Filed under: Gossypium hirsutum (cotton)
Lineage: Eukaryota; Viridiplantae; Streptophyta; Magnoliopsida; Malvales; Malvaceae
Description: MIR7504 microRNA precursor family
Rfam family: MIR7504 microRNA precursor family
Source: Rfam by way of RNAcentral